UGUCACCAGCUCUCCCUUGUCCUUAGCGGUCAGGUGUGCUUUUCCCAUAAGCCACAAUGAUGAGGUUCGAGAGGAGAGCUGGGAAACAGAAAAUUGAAAUGGAAGGAAAAUGUAUGAAAUAUCAAUUGAGGUAUUUUAAAAUACCUUUAUUUUUCCUUUUUUUUAAACAAAAGGAGUAAAAUAAAUAGUGUGCAAGCCUUGAGGGGUUAAUUUGAUGCCACGGGGCAACACUCGACCGCAGCGGGACUAAUAUAAUCAAACAGGUUUUGCAGGCACCGAAGGA
Molecule: long non-coding RNA, 283 nt
Filed under: Gossypium barbadense (sea-island cotton)
Lineage: Eukaryota; Viridiplantae; Streptophyta; Magnoliopsida; Malvales; Malvaceae
Description: long non-coding RNA (GBAR_LNC019718)
Source: RNAcentral